GAUCUUGCACUCACUCCUGGACUCCUUUCACAAUUGUUGUGAAACUCUCCAUCCAUGACAAAACCCGUUGUCCUAAUUGAACAAGCUAGAUAUCAGUCUCGCUGAUUUGCUUAACAUGUUGAAAAAUGUUAAGAGUCACUUUCCAACCAAGAAAGAGCAUGUCUUACUGGUAGGAGCCAAAGGAUGUUCUGAAAAGAAGAACGAUUCAAAGAAGGUAAAUAAAAAGGCAAAAACAAAGGAUAAUAAGAACAAAACUGAUACGGAUAGCAAAGGAGUUUGCUUCCACUGCAAUAAGCCUGGACACUAGAAAGAAUCUGCAAGAAACAUCUUGCAGAGGUUAACCAAAGAAGCUUAAGUGAAGUUUCGGUUACAAUACAGUUUGUUCAUGAUUAAAAUAAAUUUUCCUUUAAGUCAAGCUUUUAC
This 423-nucleotide long non-coding RNA is filed under the name Panax ginseng (ginseng). RNAcentral's name for it is "long non-coding RNA (PGIN_LNC002302)". The record is from RNAcentral. Lineage: Eukaryota; Viridiplantae; Streptophyta; Magnoliopsida; Apiales; Araliaceae.